This 468-nucleotide ribosomal RNA is filed under the name uncultured bacterium. RNAcentral's name for it is "partial 16S ribosomal RNA". It matches the Rfam family "Bacterial small subunit ribosomal RNA", at positions 28 to 507 of the family's 1533-position model. The record is from RNAcentral.
GACGAACGCUGGCGGCGUGCUUAACACAUGCAAGUCGAACGGAAAGUCCCUGCUUUUGUGGGGUGCUCGAGUGGCGAACGGGUGAGUAACACGUGAGUAACCUGCCCUUGACUUUGGGAUAACUUCAGGAAACUUGGGCUAAUACCGGAUAGGAGCUCCUGCUGCAUGGUGGGGGUUGGAAAGUUUCGGUGGUUGGGGAUGGAAUCGCGGCGUAUCAGCUUGGUUGUGGGGUAGUGGCAUACCAAGGCUUGGACGGGUAGCCUGCCUGAGAGGGUGACCGGACCAAUUGGGACUGAGAUACGGCCCAGACUACUAUGGGACGCAGGAGUGGGGAAUAUUGUACAAGGGGAGGAAGGAUGAUGCAGUAAAGCAACGCGGGGGAUGUGGGCAAUGGGGUUGGAAACCGAUGUCGUUUGUCCCGAAGUGUGAGUGACGGUACUGGGUAAAGAAGCACCGGCUAACUACGUG